Molecule: transfer RNA, 73 nt
Filed under: Pseudoclavibacter sp.
Lineage: Bacteria; Bacillati; Actinomycetota; Actinomycetes; Micrococcales; Microbacteriaceae
Description: tRNA-Lys
Rfam family: tRNA
About the family: Transfer RNA (tRNA) molecules are approximately 80 nucleotides in length. Their secondary structure includes four short double-helical elements and three loops (D, anti-codon, and T loops).
Source: RNAcentral
GCCCCUGUAGCUCAGUUGGCAGAGCAGGCGACUUUUAAUCGUCGGGUCCUCGGUUCGAUCCCGAGCGGGGGCA